GUUUGCGAGCGAGCAAGGCAUAAAGAACAAGACAUCGAAGCCUCACCCACUGCUGCUGUUCUCCUCUAUCACAGCCGACAGCGCUGCGACUAUUAUUAGCACUGUAGGCGCAGUGAACCUACACGUGCACCUAAGCCACAUCUAUCUGUCGAACACCUUUUCAAGCCAACGCACUGGCGCGCGCGCGCAACGCGCACACGUGCCAUCACGGUUCUGCAGGCUACGAAACGAGUAUGUGUUUGUGAGAGACCACCAACACCACCACCAUCACACACACACACACACACACACACACAUACCCCUCCCCGAAUCUAGCAAAGAAAAAUACGUCGUCCAAUACAGAGCGGCGAGCACACUCUCUCUCCCCACCCGCACCCGCCUUUCCAAAGUCAUCGCCGCCUUCCCACGUCACCGCCUGAGAGCGCUACGGGGUAGUCUGGGUCACGUCUUGUGCGUUGUUGCCGUUCAGUUUCGUUCUUUUUUUUCUGCGCGCGUGUGCACGUGUCGUCGUCUCCUUCUCCACUGCACACGCGGGUUGCUGCUCCGUCCUCGCGACUCUGUGCCCGUGUGGGUGGGUGUGGGUGUGGACGUGCGUGUGUGUAGAGGGGGAAAGGAGUCUGCUGAGUCUCCCUCCCUCCCUUCCUCCCCUCUCUUGUGUCUUUAUCAGGCGUGCGCGUGGGUCCGCUGCGGCUCAGAUCGUGAGCGUCGCCCUCCGUCCCUCUCCUAAGUGCCCUCCUCCCUUCCACGGGUUUCGCCUGCUUAUUCUUUCAGCUGCGGUCGAUUCGUAUCGGUGUAGUGCCCGCUGUUGUUGUUUCGAGGGUUGUGCGUGCCCCCUCUUUGGCUCGUAGCGAAGCGGCGCGGUGGGAGUGGGAAGGGGCGAGAGGGUGCCCCGCGAAGACAGACUCCGUUGGCGCUGUCGGUGUGGUUUACAGCCUGGCGCAUUUCGUUCUCCCCCUUCUCGGUGCUGCUUUCCUUCGCCCUUUCUGUCCUCUGCCCUUCUCUGUUCCUCUCGUGCAUGCGCUUGCGCGUGCUGCCACGGUGUCGCCGAACCAUCACAUCUUACCUGCUGUCCAUCAUGUCCGCCACGGCAGCGUCGUCGCGGCGGAAGCAGCACCACGAGUCGCUCAAGGAGGAGUCGAUGAUCUCGUUCGAGAUGGAGCUCGACGAGGCGAUUGAGCUGCCGCUCGACGUGAGCGCCGUCGCACCGACAGACGCGGCGCUGAGCGCGCCGCUUGGGGGUAAAAAGAUCACAAUGCCAGCUGCAAGGGCCGCUUCGGAGAGCAGGGCUGCAUGGAGUAACGGCAGCACCGCCAGCCUCAGAUUCGCCGUGUGCGGUAACGGAAAGGAGCUCCCAAACACCCCCGCAACCACCGACGGCGUCGGCUCUCCCAUCGCCACGCCAGACAAUGCAGCUACCACAACCUACUCGGCGGCGGCGCCGUCACGCACGUUGACGUGGAAGGACACCAGCGCGUCUCAGCGGCGUGCCGAGGCGCAGGCGAGCCGCCAAGACGACUUCAACCCCAUGGUCCUGUGCCCGCUGCAGAACCUGGGCAACACGUGCUACUUCAACGCGGGUGUGCAGCUGCUCGUGAACUGCCCCGCCCUCGUCUAUGCAGUGCGCAACUCGCCAUUUGCGCAGAGUACACAGAGCAACGGCCCCCUCACCGCCCACGCCGUAUCGAUGCCGCGGGCUGAAGCGGCAACGGCAACGACGAAGCUGUGCCUGAAAGGGGGUGCCGCCACCCACACGCUCUUCCAGGAGUUCUCCACCCUGCUCGCCCGCAUGGAGAUGGGAUGUGCAGCCGGUGAGAGGGCGAUCUCGCCCAUUUGUGCGCUCGACUCCCUCGCGCAGGCGUAUCCGCAGUUCGAGGGUCGAAGCCAGCAAGACGCCGCAGAGAUGAUGACGUCGCUGCUGGCCAGCUUGGAGGAGGAGGGCGGUCAGUAUGUGGAAGUGGCACAGCUGCUAAAGUCGUUUGAAGAAGAUGCCGCGGCGCUGCGGCAGGGCGUGACGUCCUUGGCCUCCUCUCCCCGGGUUUCGGAGCCAGUGGCGCGAGCUCUAAAGGACGCCACCGCGCCUCUCUUGGAAGCCGAGACCGCGCCCUCCGCAUCGCCGCAUCGGCGCGAUUACAGCGAGCCCUGCAACAUCGAGGAGUACUCCCAACCAUCGCUGCUCUCCUCCACUAGUGAGGACACCUUCCUGCCGGGUCCGCGCAGCGCGCACUUCUUCACCGUACUGCGGCUGAUGGAACGGGUCAAUCGCGAGAACGAACUACUUGAGCGGCGUGUGAAGCAGCGGCAAGGCAUUGCCUACACCAACUCCUUCAAGCCCCCGCGGCUACACUUCAACCCGCUGCUGGACGGCUUCCGCGGGUAUACGCUGUCGGAGGUGGAGUGCCACAACUGCCGCGCGGUAUCGCGCGUGGUGAGCCCCUUCAAUGGGUUGCUGCUGGAUGUGCCGACGGCGAAGCAGCGCCGGCGCUACGCGUUGGCGCACCCGAAUGUGCCGCGCCGCGUCGACUUCGAUGGGCAGCUGCGGCAGGUGAAGAAGCCGUUUCGGCUGACGUGGUGGAACCCCCUCUCCCUCUGCGUGGCGGCGUGGAGGCAGCUGAAGCGGUUCUUCCAGGACCCGUUCCCGUACCCGCUGUGGCUGGACGAGUGCCUCGACAUUCACUUCGAGCCGGAGGUGCUGCGCGGGUGUAACAGGUACCGUUGCGAGUCCUGCGACACCACCACCGACGCCACCAAGUCGGAGACGCUUCUUGCCCUGCCCGAGUACCUGCUCAUCCACAUGAAGCGCUUCGAGGCCGGCCGCUUCUUUAACAGCAAGAAGUCGGACUCAGUCUUCUUUCCCACCUCGUGGCGGCCGCUCACGAAGAUGCAGGCGAGGCAGUCGCCUAUCAACACGGACGACGCGCCGCCAGCGCUGCCGGAGUACCUCGACCUGCGGCACUACCUGCACAGCAGCGUCGCACCGUUCGCAGAGCCGAUCCCGCCCUGUCUGUGGAGCACCGGCAACGAGCCCCACCAGCAGCAUCACGCGAGCAGGGACGAUGCCAGCAGCCCCGCCAGCUCCAUCGCAACCACCUACACGCUAGACGGCAUUGUCAACCACCACGGCGGCUACGACGGCGGCCAUUACACCGUCUUCCUCUACAAGGCGACGGAGGAGCGGCAGGCGUGGGUGUACAUCAGCGACGAUGAGGUGGAGCAAGCGGAGGAAGUAGUGGCGACAGAUACCGAGUACGUCCUGCUGUAUCGCCGCCAACCCCUCGUGCAGGCGGCACCAGAGUCGGACGAGGCAGAACAGCUGCGCCGAAAGGCGUGCUACUACCUCUCUCAGUCAUCCCCCUCCUGCCCUGCCCCAAACACCGCGGCAGCGACGACCGCCGGCCCUAAAUCCAGCAAGCUUCAUAACAGGUGCCCCUUCUCGUCCUCUUCGGCAGGCGGCGCGGCUAGUGCGCCACCUCACGCGGCAACCGCGGCGACCGAGCCGUGGGUGUACAUCUCGCGCAUGUGGCUUCAGCGCGUCGUCUUCAUGCACGAGCCGGGCCCGAUUGUGAAUCGCCUGUGUUACUGCCGUCCAGAGGAUCAGGGGCGGGUGAGCAUGUAUCGGACCAUCUUUCCAGCCACGGUGAAAGUGCCGGCGGAGGUGCCCCACGUUCACGGCCCGCCGGUGAGCUGGUUCUACGUGCCCAUCACACAGCGGGACUACGACAUUUUUUACAACGCGUUUGGCGGCAACGCAGCCGUGACGGCGAGCGAAUACGAGUCACUGCGUGCAAUGCAGGGCAAGUUCUGCGCCGCCAUUGAUUUAGCGGAGCGGCAGCGAGGCAGCGCAGCUCGCCCUGCUCCCCGGCGCUGAGCAGCCCAUGCAGCAAGAGACAGUUACAACGGUAGCUCCUGCUGCAGUCCCCUGUGUGCGUGCUUCUUACUUUUAACCCGUUGCUGCUGCAGUGAGGCAGGAGGAUGGCGCAUGCGCCCUUCGCAGAGUUGAGACUGCCUUCUUCCGUUUGUGGAGCCGCAGGAGGGAGGGAGGGCGUGUAUCUGGUCAAGCCGCUCUACCAAGGAUGGCAGAGACGACGACGACGAGCGACGUGCUCAUCUCGCCAUCGCCUCUGUCGUGACCAGUGUGUUGUGUUCGUGCGCCUGCAUGCCUCGUUCAAUCACUCAGCAUAAAAUC
This 4183-nucleotide unclassified non-coding RNA is filed under the name Leishmania donovani. RNAcentral describes it as "gene:LdHU3.09.0340(CDS-product:cysteine_peptidase _Clan_CA_family_C19_putative)". The record is from RNAcentral. Lineage: Eukaryota; Euglenozoa; Kinetoplastea; Trypanosomatida; Trypanosomatidae.